Molecule: small nucleolar RNA, 130 nt
Organism: Trichosurus vulpecula (common brushtail)
Lineage: Eukaryota; Metazoa; Chordata; Mammalia; Diprotodontia; Phalangeridae
Product: small nucleolar RNA SNORA70
Exons: 1
Source: RefSeq, a predicted model, not a curated record
AGUCAACAAAUUAGACAAACCCAAUUAUCUCAGAGUGAGGCUGGUGUGCCAUGGUUGCAGACAGCAUAUCCCUGGUUGUGUGAGUACCUUGUUCUUCAUAAAGGGUACUCCUACAACUUCUUAAACUGUG